UGCAGAUCUUGAGCACCAGUGGAACAAAAGCAGAAAACAGGUGCUUCUCAUCUAGAAGUUCUGUCUCACAAAUACUGCGGAUGAGCUCAGCCUCAGUGUCAUCAGCAGAUGCUCCGAUGAGGCCCAGCUCCUCCUCCAUAGUGGUAUCAUUUCCUGUGCUCCGAGGUCUCUUCUUUAUUGUGCUGCUGUCAGAACGCUCUUUAUGCUUCUUGGUCUUCUCCUCCUCCCUGAGGAUGCGGCGCCUGCGCAGCUCCGCGCUCACAGACACUUCCAAAUGUGCUACCUGCCGCAGUGCCACCUGUCCCACAAGGGCCACCAGGUGCAGCAGCAGGAACGUAGGAAGACUGCUAGCACCAUCAGAGACUCUGCUGGGAGAAGCCCC
This 382-nucleotide long non-coding RNA is filed under the name Gallus gallus (chicken). Lineage: Eukaryota; Metazoa; Chordata; Aves; Galliformes; Phasianidae. The record is from RNAcentral.